GUAGCGGUUUUGGUGUGAUGGGCAUUUCUUGUAUCUGCCCCCUAAAGAAACCCUCUUGCCUCUUGUAGCUUUGUUGAACUAAAGCACACAGGUAACGGUCGUUUGGGU
Helicobacter ailurogastricus is the source of this 108-nucleotide non-coding RNA. The record is from Rfam. Lineage: Bacteria; Pseudomonadati; Campylobacterota; Epsilonproteobacteria; Campylobacterales; Helicobacteraceae.